This 497-nucleotide ribosomal RNA is filed under the name uncultured bacterium. RNAcentral describes it as "partial 16S ribosomal RNA". It matches the Rfam family "Bacterial small subunit ribosomal RNA", at positions 28 to 507 of the family's 1533-position model. The record is from RNAcentral.
GACGAACGCUGCCGGCGUGCCUAAUACAUGCAAGUAGAACGCUGAAGAGAGGCGCUUGCUCUUCUUGGAUGAGUUGCGAACGGGUGAGUCACGCGUAGGUAACCUGCCUUAUAGCGGGGGAUAACUAUUGGAAACGAUAGCUAAUACCGCAUAACAAUGGAUGACACAUGUCAUUUACUUGAAAGGGGCAAUUGCUCCACUACCAGCUGGACCUGCGUUGUAUUAGCUAGUAGGUGAGGUAAUGGCUCACCUAGGCGACGCUACAUAGCCGACCUGAGAGGGUGAUCGGCCACACUGGGACUGAGACACGGCCCAGACUCCUACGGGAGGCAGCAGUAGGGAAUCUUCGGCAAUGGGGGCAACCCUGACCGAGCAACGCCGCGUGAGUGAAGAAGGUUUUCGGAUCGUAAAGCUCUGUUGUAAGUCAAGAACGGGGGUGAGAGUGGAAAGUUCACACUGUGACGGUAGCUUACCAGAAAGGGACGGCUAACUACGUG